RNAcentral lists this ribosomal RNA (459 nucleotides) under uncultured bacterium. RNAcentral's name for it is "partial 16S ribosomal RNA". It matches the Rfam family "Bacterial small subunit ribosomal RNA", at positions 338 to 795 of the family's 1533-position model. The record is from RNAcentral.
CCUACGGGAGGCAGCAGUGAGGAAUAUUGGUCAAUGGCCGAGAGGCUGAACCCGCCAAGUCGCGUGAGGGAAGACGGCCCUACGGGUUGUAAACCUCUUUUGUCGGGGAGCCAAGCGAGUCACGUGUGACUCAUUUAGAGUACCCGAAGAAAAAGCAUCGGCUAACUCCGUGCCAGCAGCCGCGGUAAUACUGAGGAUGCGAGCGUUAUCCGGAUUUAUUGGGUUUAAAGGGUGCGCAGGCGGAGGUGCAAGUCAGCGGUCAAAUUGCGGGGCUCAACCCCGUACUGCCGUUGAAACUGCAUACCUUGAGUGCGCGAGAAGUAUGCGGAAGGCGUGGUGUAGCGGUGAAAUGCAUAGAUAUCACGCAGAACCCCGAUUGCGAAGGCAGCAUGCCGGCUUCCUACUGACGCUGAAGCACGAAAGCGGGGGGAUCGAACAGGAUUAGAUACCCCGGUAGUC